GGCAAAUUAUGUAGUUGCCAGUUAAAAUGUUAUAUGAAGGACUCAAAAAGGAAGAUUGGUAAAAUUAGAGAGCUAACUUUAUUAAGAAUGGGUUUGCUGAAGAGAUAACCUUGAGCCUGAGAACCUGGAAUAGAAGAAACUAGGUCUUUUUCAAGGAGUAGGAAGAUCAUUAUUUUAGCAGAGACAAUUGAAUGUGUGUAGAACCUGAGGCAAUAGUUUCUUUAUUUUAGGAACUGAAAGUGCACUAGCAGGGCUUGGUGACACAAGCCUGUAAUCCCAGCAGCUCUGGAGGCUUAGGCAGGAAGAUCACAAAUUCAAGGCAAACCUCAGCAAUUUAGCCUGGCUUUAAGCAACUUAGUGAGAUCCUGUCUCAAAAUAAAAAGGGCUGGGUAUGUGGCUCAGUGAUAAAGCACUCCCGAGUUCAAUUCCUGGCUCAAAAAAAAAAAAAAAAAGAACCCACAAAAAAUAUUGAAAGUACACGAGCCAACUAGUAAGAUUGGGUGGGGAUGGGAACUAGAAAGGAAGGUAAGAGAGAAAAAGGAGAGAAAUUAAGAACAAUCUGUAGGUUUCUGGUUUAUGUAAGUGAAUGAGUGAUACUAUUACAUACUGAAGUGGAGGAAGAGUGUGUGUGCUUAAGGUCAGGAGAAAGUACAGCUGUGUUUUGAGAGCAUUUGGGCAAAGAAAAGGUCAGUCAAAGUAAUUAAAAUAGUUGCCACAUUAAAGUAAGAAUCCACAGAAAAGCAACUUUAUUGCUGAGAAAUUUAGAAUAUUCCUGAGAUAUAAUAAAAUUUAGGGAGCAAAACAGAAUUAUAAACAAUCACCAAGGUUAUCAAGGAUUAAGAGGAAAACAAUCUACUGGGGUGGGGGAUAU
RNAcentral lists this long non-coding RNA (871 nucleotides) under Marmota monax (woodchuck). Lineage: Eukaryota; Metazoa; Chordata; Mammalia; Rodentia; Sciuridae. The record is from RNAcentral.